GAUGAACGCUGGCGGCGUGCCUAAUACAUGCAAGUCGAGCGAACGGACGAGAAGCUUGCUUCUCUGAUGUUAGCGGCGGACGGGUGAGUAACACGUGGAUAACCUACCUAUAAGACUGGGAUAACUUCGGGAAACCGGAGCUAAUACCGGAUGAUAUUUUGAACCGCAUGGUUCAAAAGUGAAAGACGGUCUUGCUGUCUCUUAUAGAUGGAUCCGCGCUGCAUUAGCUAGUUGGUAAGGUAACGGCUUACCAAGGCAACGAUGCAUAGCCGACCUGAGAGGGUGAUCGCCCACACUGGAACUGAGACACGCUCCAUACUCCUACGGGAGGCAGCAGUAUGGAAUCUUCCGCAAAGGUCGAAAGCCUUGCGGAGCAACGCCGCGUGAGUGAUGAAGGUCUUCGGUUCGUAAUACUCUGUUAUUGGUUAAGAACAUAUUUGUAAGUAACUGUGCACAUCGUGACGGUACCUAAUCAGAAAGCCCCGGCUAACUACGUG
This 497-nucleotide ribosomal RNA is filed under the name uncultured bacterium. RNAcentral describes it as "partial 16S ribosomal RNA". It matches the Rfam family "Bacterial small subunit ribosomal RNA", at positions 28 to 507 of the family's 1533-position model. The record is from RNAcentral.